GCCCCUGUGGCGCAAUCGGUAGCGCGUAAGACUUCUAUGACAUGGUCAUCUUAAGGCUGUGGGUCCCACCACGGGCU
RNAcentral lists this transfer RNA (77 nucleotides) under Aspergillus tubingensis. Its description in RNAcentral is "tRNA-Arg". It matches the Rfam family "tRNA". Rfam says of the family: Transfer RNA (tRNA) molecules are approximately 80 nucleotides in length. Their secondary structure includes four short double-helical elements and three loops (D, anti-codon, and T loops). Lineage: Eukaryota; Fungi; Ascomycota; Eurotiomycetes; Eurotiales; Aspergillaceae. The record is from RNAcentral.